UCCUGGAAGAUAGGCUCAGUGGUAGAGCACAUGCUUUGAAUGCAGAAGGGUCUGGGUUCAAUCCUGGGGAAAGAUCCAGGCG
This is a non-coding RNA of Podarcis lilfordi (Lilford's wall lizard), 82 nucleotides long. Lineage: Eukaryota; Metazoa; Chordata; Lepidosauria; Squamata; Lacertidae. The record is from the annotation of a GenBank genome assembly.